RNAcentral lists this ribosomal RNA (465 nucleotides) under uncultured Anoxybacillus sp. RNAcentral's name for it is "bacterial SSU rRNA". It matches the Rfam family "Bacterial small subunit ribosomal RNA", at positions 923 to 1382 of the family's 1533-position model. Lineage: Bacteria; Bacillati; Bacillota; Bacilli; Caryophanales; Anoxybacillaceae. The record is from RNAcentral.
GCACAAGCGGUGGAGCAUUGUGGUUUAAUUCGAAGCAACGCGAAGAACCUUACCAGGUCUUGACAUCCCCUGACAACCCGAGAGAUCGGGCGUUCCCCCUUCGGGGGGACAGGGUGACAGGUGGUGCAUGGUUGUCGUCAGCUCGUGUCGUGAGAUGUUGGGUUAAGUCCCGCAACGAGCGCAACCCUCGACCUUAGUUGCCAGCAUUCAGUUGGGCACUCUAAGGUGACUGCCGGCUAAAAGUCGGAGGAAGGUGGGGAUGACGUCAAAUCAUCAUGCCCCUUAUGACCUGGGCUACACACGUGCUACAAUGGGCGGUACAAAGGGUCGCGAACCCGCGAGGGGGAGCCAAUCCCAAAAAGCCGCUCUCAGUUCGGAUUGCAGGCUGCAACUCGCCUGCAUGAAGCCGGAAUCGCUAGUAAUCGCGGAUCAGCACGCCCGCGGUCGAAUACGUUCCCGGGCCUU